CGGUGGAAUGCGCAGAUAUCAGGAGGAACACCGAUGGCGAAGGCAGAUCUCUGGGCCGCUACUGACGCUGAGGAGCGAAAGCAUGGGGAGCGAACAGGAUUAGAUACCCUGGUAGUCCAUGCCGUAAACGUUGGGAACUAGAUGUAGGGCCUGUUCCACGGGUUCUGUGUCGUAGCUAACGCAUUAAGUUCUCCGCCUGGGGAGUACGGCCGCAAGGCUAAAACUCAAAGGAAUUGACGGGGGCCCGCACAAGCGGCGGAGCAUGCGGAUUAAUUCGAUGCAACGCGAAGAACCUUACCAAGGCUUGACAUAGCCGAGAACGCUGUAGAGAUACAGAACUCUUUGGACACUCGGUUACAGGUGGUGCAUGGUUGUCGUCAGCUCGUGUCGUGAGAUGUUCGGUUAAGUCCGGCAACGAGCGCAACCCUCGUCCUAUGUUGCCAGCACGUUAUGGUGGGAACUCAUGGGAUACUGCCGUGGUCAACACGGAGGAAGGUGGGGAUGACGUCAAGUCAUCAUGCCCCUUAUGUCUUGGGCUUCACGCAUGCUACAAUGGCCGAUACAAAGGGCUGCGAUACCGCGAGGUGGAGCGAAUCCCAAAAAGUCGGUCUCAGUUCGGAUUGGGGUCUGCAACUCGACCCCAUGAAGUCGGAGUCGCUAGUAAUCGCAGAUCAGCAACGCUGCGGUGAAUACGUUCCCGGGCCUUGUACACACCGCCCGUCAAGUCAUGAAAGUCGGUAACACCCGAAGCCGGUGGCCUAACCCUUGUGGAGGGAGCCGUCGAAGGUGGGACUGGUGAUUAGGACU
RNAcentral lists this ribosomal RNA (807 nucleotides) under uncultured bacterium. RNAcentral describes it as "bacterial SSU rRNA". It matches the Rfam family "Bacterial small subunit ribosomal RNA", at positions 679 to 1482 of the family's 1533-position model. The record is from RNAcentral.